GGGUGUGUAGUUCAGUGGUAGAACGCUUUCCUGAUAAGAAAGAGGUCUAAAGUUCGAUUCUUUACACACCCACAA
Molecule: transfer RNA, 75 nt
Filed under: bacterium
Lineage: Bacteria
Description: tRNA-Ile
Rfam family: tRNA
About the family: Transfer RNA (tRNA) molecules are approximately 80 nucleotides in length. Their secondary structure includes four short double-helical elements and three loops (D, anti-codon, and T loops). Further hydrogen bonds mediate the characteristic L-shaped molecular structure. tRNAs have two regions of fundamental functional importance: the anti-codon, which is responsible for specific mRNA codon recognition, and the 3' end, to which the tRNAs corresponding amino acid is attached (by aminoacyl-tRNA synthetases). tRNAs cope with the degeneracy of the genetic code in two manners: having more than one tRNA (with a specific anti-codon) for a particular amino acid; and 'wobble' base-pairing, i.e. permitting non-standard base-pairing at the 3rd anti-codon position.
Source: RNAcentral